CCGCACAAGCGGUGGAGCAUGUGGUUAAUUCGAAGCAACGCGAAGAACCUUACCAGGUCUUGACAUCCCGAUGCUUAUUUCUAGAGAUAGAAAGUUACUUCGGUACAUCGGUGACAGGUGGUGCAUGGUUGUCGUCAGCUCGUGUCGUGAGAUGUUGGGUUAAGUCCCGCAACGAGCGCAACCCCUAUUGUUAGUUGCCAUCAUUCAGUUGGGCACUCUAGCGAGACUGCCGGUAAUAAACCGGAGGAAGGUGGGGAUGACGUCAAAUCAUCAUGCCCCUUAUGACCUGGGCUACACACGUGCUACAAUGGUUGGUACAACGAGUUGCGAGUCGGUGACGGCGAGCUAAUCUCUUAAAGCCAAUCUCAGUUCGGAUUGUAGGCUGCAACUCGCCUACAUGAAGUCGGAAUCGCUAGUAAUCGCGGAUCAGCACGCCGCGGUCGAAUACGUUCCCGGGCCUU
RNAcentral lists this ribosomal RNA (461 nucleotides) under uncultured Streptococcus sp. RNAcentral describes it as "bacterial SSU rRNA". It matches the Rfam family "Bacterial small subunit ribosomal RNA", at positions 921 to 1382 of the family's 1533-position model. The record is from RNAcentral. Lineage: Bacteria; Bacillati; Bacillota; Bacilli; Lactobacillales; Streptococcaceae.